CGCCCGUCGCUACUACCGAUUGAAUGGCUUAGUGAGGCUUCCGGAUUGGUUUAAAGAAGGGGGCAACUCCAUCUUGGAACCGAAAAGCUAGUCAAACUUGGUCAUUUAGAGGAAGUAAAAGUCGUAACAAGGUUUCCGUAGGUGAACCUGCGGAAGGAUCAUUACAGUAUUCUUUUGCCAGCGCUUAAUUGCGCGGCGAAAAACCUUACACACUAUGUUUUUUUAAUUUGAAACUAUUGCUUUGGUCUGGCUUAGAAAUAGGUUGGGCCAAAGGUUUUAUCAAAACUUCAAUAUUUAUUAUUGAAUUGUUAUUUUAAUUUUAUGUCAAUUUGUUGAUUAAUAUCAAAAAUCUUCAAAACUUUCAACAACGGAUCUCUUGGUUCUCGCAUCGAUGAAGAACGCAGCGAAAUGCGAUAAGUAAUAUGAAUUGCAGAUUUUCGUGAAUCAUCGAAUCUUUGAACGCACAUUGCGCCCUUUGGUAUUCCAAAGGGCAUGCCUGUUUGAGCGUCAUUUCUCUCUCAAAUCUUCGGAUUUGGUUUUGAGUGAUACUCUUAGUCAGACUAAGCGUUUGCUUGAAAUGUAUUGGCAUGAGUGGUACUAGAUAGUGCUGAACUGUUUUCAAUGUAUUAGGUUUAUCCAACUCAUUGUAUCAGUAAAGUAUUUGUUUAUUACACAGGCUCGGCCUUACAACAACAAACAAAGUUUGACCUCAAAUCAGGUAGGACUACCCGCUGAACUUAAGCAUAUCAAUAAGCGGAGGAAAAGAAACCAACAGGGAUUGCCUUAGUAACGGCGAGUGAAGCGGCAAAAGCUCAAAUUUGAAAUCUAGCACUUUCAGUGUUCGAGUUGUAAUUUGAAGAAGGUAACUUUGGAAUUGGCUCUUGUCUAUGUUCCUUGGAACAGGACGUCACAGAGGGUGAGAAUCCCGUGCGAUGAGAUGUCCAAUUCUAUGUAAAGUGCUUCGAGA
RNAcentral lists this ribosomal RNA (967 nucleotides) under Dujonia oleophila. RNAcentral's name for it is "eukaryotic LSU rRNA". The stretch from base 705 to 967 matches the Rfam family "Eukaryotic large subunit ribosomal RNA", at positions 1 to 262 of the family's 3401-position model. The record is from RNAcentral. Lineage: Eukaryota; Fungi; Ascomycota; Pichiomycetes; Serinales; Debaryomycetaceae.